GAUGAAUGCUGGCGGCGUGCCUAACACAUGCAAGUCGAGCGGCAGCGAGGGGUGCUUGCACCCUGUCGGCGAGCGGCGAACGGCUGAGUAACGCGUAGGAAUUUGCCCCAAAGUGAGGAAUAACUGCCCGAAAGGGUAGCUAAUGCCGCAUAUGGUCUUCGGAUUAAAGGAUUUAUCCGCUUUGGGAGAAGCCUGCGUUGGAUUAGGUUGUUGGUAGGGUAAUGGCCUACCAAGCCGACGAUCCAUAGCUGGUCUGAGAGGAUGAUCAGCCAGACUGGAACUGAGACACGGUCCAGACUCCUACGGGAGGCAGCAGUGAGGAAUCUUCCACAAUGGGCGAAAGCCUGAUGGAGCAACGCCGCGUGAAGGAUGAAGGCCUUCGGGUUGUAAACUUCUUUUAUGAGUGAAGAAUAUGACGGUAACUCAUGAAUAGGCACCGGCUAACUACGUG
RNAcentral lists this ribosomal RNA (451 nucleotides) under uncultured bacterium. RNAcentral's name for it is "partial 16S ribosomal RNA". It matches the Rfam family "Bacterial small subunit ribosomal RNA", at positions 28 to 507 of the family's 1533-position model. The record is from RNAcentral.